ACUCAAUUAGUUUAAAAAACAUUAAAUUGCAAAUUUGA
RNAcentral lists this transfer RNA (38 nucleotides) under Habronattus oregonensis. RNAcentral's name for it is "tRNA-Cys". Lineage: Eukaryota; Metazoa; Arthropoda; Arachnida; Araneae; Salticidae. The record is from RNAcentral.